Molecule: ribosomal RNA, 3366 nt
Filed under: Phellinus viticola
Lineage: Eukaryota; Fungi; Basidiomycota; Agaricomycetes; Hymenochaetales; Hymenochaetaceae
Description: Fuscoporia viticola large subunit ribosomal RNA
Rfam family: Bacterial large subunit ribosomal RNA
Source: RNAcentral
AAAGUAUCGAUGUGUAAUAUAGAAACUAACAUCAAAAAUUAUUUUUAUAAUAAAGUAUUUCAAAGGGGUUAUUAAGGAGAAAUUGGCAAAUUUAUAAGAUAAGGAGGGGUAAACCCAAAAGCUACAUACUCAAGUGGCAAUCCUAAGGGAAACCUUUUAUAUAAUACUUCCUGAAGUAAAUCAUUUCAGUAAGGAAAGGAAAGGAAAUCAACCGAGACUCCGAAAGUAACGGCGAGUGAAAUCGGACUAGCCUAAAAUAUCAAUAACAGUGAAAAAAAGCUUAGUUAGUGGCUCUCGUACACGUUGAACGAGAACGAGGCCUUAGGCUAAGCUAAACCAAAGAAGGUGUAAACCAUAGUCCUGUAGCUUUUGUUGAUAUUUUUAAAAUAAACUACGACGAGAGAAAACUUGUUGGAAUAAAGGGGAACCAUCCUCUAAGGCUAAGUAUUAUAAAUUUAGCGAUAGUGAAAAGUACUGUAAAGGAAAAUUUGAAAGAGAGGUCAAUAAGACUAGUGAAAUAGAUAAGAACUCGAAUUAGUAACUCUAUAAGCAGCCGAAAUUAAUAUAUAAACAAUGACGGCGUACCUUUUGCAUAAUGGGUCAGCAAGUUAAUAGAAAUAGCAAGGUUAAAAGCCUUAGCGAAAGCGACUACACUUAUUUAGGGAAGUAAAAUUUUAUUUUAUAAUAUAUUUUGAUUAAUUUAUUAAUUGAAAAAGAGUAGCACCUUAAAUUAAAUAAUCUUUUUAUAUUAAUUUAAGUUGUUAUUUGCUAAACAAUAGUGUUGGGAUAGUUAUUUCUAUUAGACCCGAAGCUAGAUGAUCUUUCCAGGGCCAGAUUAUUAAGGAUCGAACGGGUGAAUGUUGCAGAAUUCUCCGAUGAGCUCUGGAAAGCGGUGAAAUGCCAAUCUAAUCUAGUGCUAGCUGGUAUUCUUCGAAACAUAUGUAAGUAUGACAUCUAAUAAAGAUUUAUGGUGGUACAGCACUGAAUUGCGAACAAGGGUAAUAAUAUUUAUUAUUAUCAAGCGUUUAGGUUGAGGGGAUAUAAAAAUCUUACCAAUGGAAGCUAAUCUCGAAAUGACAUAAAUUGAAGUUAGAUAUUCAGACUACUCCUGAUAAGUUGGGUAGUCAAGACGAAAACAGUCGAGAACACGUUUUAAGGUCCCAAAUGAUUAUUAAGUGAAAUUAAGGAUGUCAUAUAUUGUAUGCAGCUGAAAAGUGAGCCUGGUAGUCGCUACUUUUAAUGAACGUUGUAACAACGCAUCAGCUCUUAUUUUUCUGUUCUAUUAGAAUUAGAAAGGUAAAGAAUAUGGCGCCGAAAAUUUAACGGGUCUAAAUAAUCAACCGAUAUCGUGUUGGUUAAGAAAAUUAUCUUUUCUUAAUCUAGGUAGAAGAACAUUCAGAAACGGUAGAUGUACAGUGUUUCAUUGUAUAGACGAACUGAAGAGAGAAUGCUGACAUGAGUAACGUAAAAAGAAGUUAUAAUACUUCUCGCCGAAUACGAAAGGGUUGUAAUGAUAGUAAAACAUCUUACGUUAAAUGCGGUCUCUAAGGUCUAGAACCAAAGUUCUAACUGAUGAGUAAGUGAUAAAAUGUCCUAUAGGAAGAUUGGAUCAAGAAAAAUAAUCACUUCCGAAGAGUUUAAACUAAAAAUAAACUCUAAUUUAAGUUAUAUGUUAAAUUAUUAAUGGAGCCUCUCUAUUUACUCUAAAGGUAGAUGGAGAGAAUUGGAGAUUAAUAAUGAUUUAACUUAUCUAAAGGAACUACCGUACCCUAAACCGACACAGGUUCGUAGGUAGAGAAUACUAAGGCGUGGAGCUAAAAGUUGUAAAGGAACUCGGCAAGUUUUCCUCAUAUGUUAGACGAUAAGAGGAACCAGAGAAUCACAUUAUAGCUUUCGAUGUAAUACUUUAAGUAUUGCUACUUAGCUUCAAGCUAGCUUCAAGCUUGCUUCAAGCAAGGAAACGAUUAUUAUUCCCUUAAUCUUUUAAAAUUUAGUUCAAACUAAAUAUAAAAAGGUUGUAACAGUAAUAAGCCAGCCAUGGUAAACUAGUGGAAUUUAUUCCAUUUAUUUGUAUAAUCUGGUGUCACAGAAUCGGAGGCCUCGACUGUUUACUAAAAACACAAGAAUGUGCAAUGAAAAAAAUCAUAGUAUACGUUCUGAAAUUUGCUCGAUGCCAUUAACAUAAGAAAGGUAAUAGGUAACUGUUACUGAUUGAAAGUCUGGUUAAUAGCGGUCUUAACUAUGAGGAUCCAAAGGUAGCGUAAUCCAUUGGCCAUUAAAUGUGGUCCGGCAUCAAUAAUGUAACGAAGGUCUCACUGUCUCUACAACUUGCUCAGUGAAAUUGAAUUACCCGUGCAGAUGCGGGUUACCCCCAGUGGGACGGGAAGACCCUAUGCAGCUUUACUGUAGUUAGUUAUAACACUGAUCUAGAACAAUCUCAAUCAAUAGUGAUUAGGUAGUCGUUAGACGAAAAACUUUUGCUUUUCUAAAAAUAAUCUAAUUUAGAUUAAGAUAAGUAAAGGGAGUGGAAACCUCCAGAAUGAGAUUGGGUCAGAGUUUACCUAAUUAAUUUAAAUUAAUAGGAAGAAUUGACUAAUUGGCAGUUUGACUGGGGCGGUCGUCUUUUAUAAAGUAGCAAAGUACAUCCAAAUAUUUAACUUGAUAUAUUAGUUACUCCUUAUUCCGCAAUCAACCAGUGAGGGUAGGGAAUGACUAAUUUUUAAAAUUUAAUUUUUAAUUAAAGGUAUAGCUAGAAAUCGAAUGGAGAUCAAUCAACCAGUGUAAAGGUUGCGCAUAGUGUAAUGGCGGUAAGCAUACCUAACUGAGAGACUUAAAAGUCGACCAGAUACGUAAGUAGGGCAUAGUGACCCCUCGCUAUAAUAUGGAAUAGACGGGGAUCAAUUGAUAAAAGUUACGCUAGGGAUAACAGGCUGAUAGCCGGCGAGAGUACACAUUGUCCCGGCUGUUUGGCACCUCGAUGUCGAUUCAUCCUAUCCUCCGGGGGAAGAAGCUUGGAAGGGUUGGACUGUUCGUCCAUUAAAAGGGUACGUGAAUUGGGUUUAAUACGACGUGAGUCAGUAUGGUCCCUAUCUUCUGGGGGAACAAUUAGUAAAAAGGGGAAGACCUUCUAGUACGAAAGGAUCAAUAGGCUGUGUUUCAAUAGUGUACCAAUUGUUGAAAUCAAAAUAAUAUAUAAACCUUAAAAGCUCUCUUUGUUUUAACUUUUUUGGUUUGGUCUCAAACAUUUAUUUUUAAAGAUAAAGCGCUUGAGGCUAAUAAGUUUAGCUUGCGUAGCUUACGCUCAGCGACAAUUUAUUAUUAUAUUUCUUUGGUGUGGUAAUAGUUUAGUCACUAAACUAACCAUAU